Molecule: long non-coding RNA, 230 nt
Organism: Pieris rapae (cabbage white)
Lineage: Eukaryota; Metazoa; Arthropoda; Insecta; Lepidoptera; Pieridae
Exons: 2
Source: RefSeq, a predicted model, not a curated record
UUACCAUUAGUUUUCACCAUAUAAAUGAAAUAUGUUAUGAUCUCCUUUUCAUUAACUGGCAGAGACUUGAAGUGCUUUUGUAUUACCUGUGAACAAUGAUUUUUAUUUUAAUCAAUAGUAAAGGUUUGUAUAACUUAUGUCACGGAUCAGAACCAAUUUAAGUGUAUGUAAUUUAUUUAUGUAAGAUUGAAUUUACCAUGUCUGUAUGUAACAUGGUCAUUUGUUAUUGA